GAUGAAGAACGCAGCGAAAUGCGAUAAGUAGUGUGAAUUGCAGAAUUCAGUGAAUCAUCGAAUCUUUGAACGCACAUUGCGCCCCUUGGUAUCACGAGGGGCAUGCCUGUUCGAGCGUCAUUUCACCACUCAAGCCUGGCUUGGUGUUGGGCGACGUCCCCUUUGGGGACGCGCCUCGAAACGCUCGGCGGCGUGGCACCGGCUUUAAGCGUAGCAGAAUCUUUCGCUUUGGAAGUCGGGGCCCCGUCUGCCGGAAGACCUACUCGCAAGGUUGACCUCGGAUCAGGCAGGGAUACCCGCUGAACUUAAGCAUAUCAAUAAGCGGAGGA
This 329-nucleotide unclassified non-coding RNA is filed under the name soil metagenome. Its description in RNAcentral is "partial contains 5.8S ribosomal RNA, internal transcribed spacer 2, and large subunit ribosomal RNA". The stretch from base 1 to 120 matches the Rfam family "5.8S ribosomal RNA", at positions 35 to 154 of the family's 154-position model. The record is from RNAcentral.